GUGCCAGCAGCCGCGGUAAUACGUAGGGUGCAAGCGUUGCCCGGAUUUAUUGGGCGUAAAGGGCGCGUAGGCGGCUCUGCACGUUCGUUGUGAAAUCGCCCGGCUCAACUGGGCGGGGUCAGCGGAUACGGCAGAGCUUGAGCAAGCUAGGGGGCAAUGGAAUUCCCGGUGUAGUGGUGGAAUGCGUAGAUAUCGGGAGGAACACCAGUGGCGAAGGCGGUUGCCUGGGGCUUUGCUGACGCUGAUGCGCGAAAGCGUGGGGAGCGAUCCGGAUUAGAUACCCGGGUAGUCC
This 292-nucleotide ribosomal RNA is filed under the name uncultured bacterium. RNAcentral's name for it is "partial 16S ribosomal RNA". It matches the Rfam family "Bacterial small subunit ribosomal RNA", at positions 505 to 796 of the family's 1533-position model. The record is from RNAcentral.